This 184-nucleotide ribosomal RNA is filed under the name Staphylococcus aureus. RNAcentral's name for it is "partial 23S ribosomal RNA". It matches the Rfam family "Bacterial large subunit ribosomal RNA", at positions 2740 to 2925 of the family's 2925-position model. The record is from RNAcentral. Lineage: Bacteria; Bacillati; Bacillota; Bacilli; Caryophanales; Staphylococcaceae.
GCUGGGUAGCUAUGUGUGGACGGGAUAAGUGCUGAAAGCAUCUAGCAUGAAGCCCCCCUCAAGAUGAGAUUUCCCAACUUCGGUUAUAAGAUCCCUCAAAGAUGAUGAGGUUAAUAGGUUCGAGGUGGAAGCAUGGUGACAUGUGGAGCUGACGAAUACUAAUCGAUCGAAGACUUAAUCAAAA